RNAcentral lists this non-coding RNA (29 nucleotides) under Mus musculus (house mouse). The record is from RNAcentral. Lineage: Eukaryota; Metazoa; Chordata; Mammalia; Rodentia; Muridae.
UCCAUUACUGAGAAAGAAACCCAAACACA